This is a long non-coding RNA of Sebastes umbrosus (honeycomb rockfish), 1131 nucleotides long. RefSeq lists it as uncharacterized. Lineage: Eukaryota; Metazoa; Chordata; Actinopteri; Perciformes; Sebastidae. The record is from RefSeq and is a predicted model, not a curated record. The transcript is spliced from 2 exons.
UAAAUACUUAACUAAUCUCCCUUUAAGGUUCAUUUUGAACAGAUAAAAAAUGUGCGAUUAAUCACGAUUAACUAUAUAUAUUGAUUGACAGCUCUAGUUCUGAGUACUUCUUCCACCACUGGUGAACUGUUGGACCCAACAGACGUGAUUAUACUGAUAGAAGCAGCAGAAACGCGCCGGUUCGACCUCACGCCAGUCCGUUUCAUCAUCCAGCAUGUGUGCGGCUCUGACAUUUGACCCCCGGCAUUCUCGGUCUGGUUUUGGAAAGCGUGACCCUCCGCUUCCCUUGGCAACAGCGGUACGCCAAGUUUGUGACGCUCUGUGUGUGUGUGUGUGUGUGUGUGUGUGUGUGUGUGUGUGUGUGUGGCACCUGUUGGACGGGAUUAGCCCCUUGUUUUCACAAUGUGUCGAGCAGAGUUCAGUGUGCAGCAGGCAGGCCACAGGCCAGCCAAAUAUAGAAGGAGGGACAUACAGAGGGACCGAUGGUGAAGUCCUAGAGGAAAGAGAACAACAUGGGGAGGAGCUUCGCCGCGGCGGCAUGCCACCCGUGUGCGAAGGACUUACUGGGAGAAGUGGGACGUCACUGACAAACAAGGCUGGAAAUAAACACAACGCUGCUGCUGCUGCUACUCCAUCACCACCACACGCCUCCACAGCUCCACCUAGCACUUCAAUCUCAAACUGCAAACUGGUUUGAUGUUCAGUCUGAGCUCACUGACGAUGAAGCAAUAAAAUAUCCCAGAGGUGAAGGGACAAUAAUACUAAUCACAACAUCCGGAGCUCAUUCUUCCAACAACAGGUCAGCUCUUAAAGGCAACACGUCUUCACGGAAACUGUCCUCCUUUUUCACAUUAAAGGUCCCAUAUCGUGCUCAUUUUCAGGUUCAUACUUUUAUUUUGUGUUUCUACUAGAACAUGUUUACAUGCUGUAAUGUUAAAAAAAAAACUUUAUUUUCCUCAUACUGUCUGCUUAAAUAUACCUGUAUUUACCCUCUGUCUGAAACGCUCCAUUUUAGUGCAUUUCAAUGGAAUUGCGUUGCCUUGCAACAGUUUGGGUCCAUGUUAACUUCCCGUCAGCUGUUGUCAUCAACAUCCACUGCAACCAGGAAUAAACUGGGACACAUUUAGAAUG